This 776-nucleotide ribosomal RNA is filed under the name uncultured Neocallimastigales. Its description in RNAcentral is "partial large subunit ribosomal RNA". It matches the Rfam family "Eukaryotic large subunit ribosomal RNA", at positions 20 to 643 of the family's 3401-position model. Lineage: Eukaryota; Fungi; Neocallimastigomycota; Neocallimastigomycetes; Neocallimastigales. The record is from RNAcentral.
AAGAGAUGUGUGAUGACGCAUAUCAAUAAGCGGAGGAAAAGAAACUAACAAGGAUUCCCUUAGUAACGGCGAGUGAAGCGGGAAGAGCUCAAAUUUGAAAUCUUCAAGGUUCUACCUUGACGAAUUGUAGUUUAUAGAAGUGUUUUCUGUUAGUAGAGUGGCAAAAGUUCUUUGGAAUAGGACAUCAUAGAGGGUGAGAAUCCCGUAUUUAGUCAUUCUUUCUAGCUUUGUGAUACACUUUCAACGAGUCGGAUUGUUUGGGAAUGCAGUCCAAAAUGGGUGGUAAAUUUCAUCUAAAGCUAAAUAUUGGCGAGAGACCGAUAGCGAACAAGUACCGUGAGGGAAAGAUGAAAAGAACUCUGAAAAGAGAGUUAAACAGUACGUGAAAUUGUCAAAAGGGAAGCGUUUGACACCAGUGUUGUUUUUCCGAAAAUCAAUUACGAAUGUUUUAUUUUUGAGAAGUUAUGACUUCAUCGGCUUGCUUCUCUCUUUACUGAAACUUUCUUAAUGCACUUUUCGGUUAACAAGUCAACAUCAAUUUCUUUUGUUGUAAAAGGGUAUGAGGAAGGUGGCUUUCUUUUCGGAGAAAGUGUUUAUAGCCUUGUACCUCUGCAAUCGGAGAGAUUGAGGUCUGCAGCGUAGAUCCUUCGGGGUUAGAUACAUUUGUGCUAAGUUAUAGCUUUUCAUAGACAACUUGUUGACUAUGUUAAGUCUUGUAGCUUACUCGCUUAUGCUAUUUUACCUACGCUUAGGAUGUUGAAGAUGUAGCACAUCAU